CUCNUAGCGNNGUGCGGAAGGAUCAUUAUUGAAAUAAACUUAGGGGUUGUUGCUGGCCUUUCAAGGGCAAUUUUGUGCACGCCUCUAUCUAUUUCCCUUUAACACCCCCAUUGUGCAUCUUGUGUAGGUUAACGUAAAGUUAAUCUAUGUUUUUAUUUUUAUACCUUUGUUUUUGAAUGGGAAUGUAAUUUUUUAAACCCUCAGUAAGCUCUCAUUUUGGAGCUGAAAAGGAAAUAAAUAUGUGUACAACUUUCAACAACGGAUCUCUUGGCUCUCGCAUCGAUGAAGAACGCAGCGAAAUGCGAUAAGUAAUGUGAAUUGCAGAAUUCAGUGAAUCAUCGAAUCUUUGAACGCAUCUUGCGCUCCUUGGUAUUCCGAGGAGCAUGCCUGUUUGAGUGUCGUGAAGUUCUCAAAUCCCCUUUUUCCUAAGGAGGGUUUGGAAUUUGGAGGUGCGUGCUUUGUUGUGAAAAACCUCCUCUUUGAGGUGGUUUAAUUAAGCUCCUCUAAAAUGUAUUAGUGAAAACCUAUCCUGCUCUCAAGAUGGUGCAAAGCUUUGGUUUUGAUAAUGUCUUUAUCUUAUAAGCUAUUGCUUUUAGCCCCAAAGAUAUUCUUGGGAAGUGGUGGGGUCUGCUUUACAAACAAAAUUGACACUUUUGACCUCAAAUCAGGUAGGACUACCCGCUGAACUUAAGCAUAUCAUUAAGCGGAGGAACGGGGGAGCAUANCA
Molecule: ribosomal RNA, 727 nt
Filed under: Porpolomopsis aff. calyptriformis DJL05TN80 (TENN)
Lineage: Eukaryota; Fungi; Basidiomycota; Agaricomycetes; Agaricales; Hygrophoraceae
Description: eukaryotic LSU rRNA
Rfam family: 5.8S ribosomal RNA (bases 248-401)
Source: RNAcentral